GCCCUUGGUCCUCACCGUUGCUGUACACUGGCUGUAGCUCUAUCCAGGCUGGUACAUUGUGAUAGAUGGAAAAAAACAGAGGUUUCACAAGGCCAUGGAAAAACAGAGGUUUACCAAGACCAUGGAACCGGAAAGGGGAGGAGCCAAGAUUCAAACCUGACACCAAAUCCUCUGCUCUCAGAGAAAUCAAGGUCUUGUAAGGGUAAAGAGAGGGGUACACUGCACUACAGCUUGUAAUGUUAGAUAAACUACGCAUGAGCAGUUGUGGAAACUUCUAUGUGUAAAGAAGAACUCUGGGAGACCAGUGGGGAAGGUGAAGAAGGAUUGUGGGAUGAAAGAGGAAGCGCUCUUGAGAACUAGGAGUGGUCACAAAGUGAAUGUGAGCCCGAAGGCAUGGAGAUGGGAAGAACCCGGAGACAAGAAAAAGGAAGGAAGACAAGCAAGAAACAGGAAAUAAAGAUGUUUUAGAUACUGCUAAAAGCAAGCAAAGAAAAAGAGCAAACAUGAUAAUGGAAUAGAGGAUUCAUUAAGGCUGGAGGUUUUCCUAGCUAGAUGGGGCCAGUCACCAACAUCUGUUUUAUGUAUACAAGACUAACCAGAUGGAGAAGCUGAGACCUGAAGUCUAAGCU
Long non-coding RNA from Tupaia belangeri chinensis (Chinese tree shrew), 629 nucleotides. RefSeq lists it as uncharacterized. The record is from RefSeq and is a predicted model, not a curated record. The transcript is spliced from 5 exons. NCBI's taxonomy places the organism in Eukaryota, Metazoa, Chordata, Mammalia, Scandentia, Tupaiidae.